GACAGGAGGCUUCUUUAGACCUGACAGGGUGCGGGUUAUUUUGUCCCUCACCUUUCCUGCUCAGGGACCUGUCCUCCUCCGUCUCGUUCCAUGCCUUCUCUCCUCCUCUUAAAGGAUGCUAAUCACAUUCAAGCCAAAAGAUUAGAGACUUUUCUGUGUCCUUCGUCAGGAAUGCUUGGAUUUGUUAGGAAGGGAACUGGAUACAACUUCAUGAGAUAUAAGGGUGUAAUUUCAGACAUGUGCGUUUCUUUCUAGGAUUAUUUAAAUUACACCUCAACUCACAAUCGGCUCAUGCCUUACAACCAUCUGUGGCUAAGAGGCAAGUCGGACUUCCUGGUAAACCCUCUUCUCUUAGGUGAAGCAUGGAGCUGUGACCUUAUUAACCUGAACAGCAAUUGGGAGCCUCAAAAUAGAAAAAGCAAAAACUCAGGAAAGUUUAUUUAUUUAUUGUUAAGACAGAGUCUCACUCCAUCACCCAGUCUGGAGUGCAGUGGCGUAAUCUCGGCUCACUGCAACCUCCGCUUCCCGGGUUCAAGUGAUUCUCAUGCCUCAGCCUCCCGAGUAGCUGGGAUUACAAGAGCCCACCACCACGCCUGGCUAGUUUUUUUUUUUUUUUUUGGUAUUUUUAGUAGAGACAGGGUUUCGCCAUGUUAGCCAGGCUGAUCUCGAACUCCUGGCCUCAGGUGAUCUGCCCGCCUCAGCCUCCCAAAGUGCUGGGAUUACAGGCAUGAGCCACCAUGCCUGGCCAGAAACUUCUUUAAUCAACAUUGAUUUUCCAGGAAUAGAAGUUGUAUAAUAGAGAAAGCAGCACCUGAGUAGGGCCUUAGAGUCUAGAAGGUGCUUUCAGUUACAGGCUUGGGAGACACCCAUUACUCAUAUGGUCUUCGAUAGGCUGGAAGAGACUUGAGCUUGCAAGUGAAAUAAGCCAGAGAAUUUUGAAGAUAUAAAAAGGCGCAUCUCAAUUCCGUGUGGCGGGCAAAAAAUAAAGGAGCAGAUUGUGACAGACCAUUCCCAUCGGCCAUGCGGGCGAACCCAACGUCCUUUUACAUUGAAGAACCCAACGGGGCCUUUUACAUUGCGGAUGAUGGACCGGCUCGUGACGUCCAUGAAUUUCACGCGCACCUGUGUGCACUGUCCCUGAGAGCCGGUCCUGCCCAGGACCUUGGUGACCCUGGCCAGCUUGAUAGGCUGCACACGGCUGGUGUUCAUGAUGGCGGCGCAGCGACGAUGUGGCG
This is a long non-coding RNA of Homo sapiens (human), 1235 nucleotides long. RefSeq lists it as uncharacterized. The transcript is spliced from 3 exons. The record is from RefSeq and is a predicted model, not a curated record. Lineage: Eukaryota; Metazoa; Chordata; Mammalia; Primates; Hominidae.